GGAUAUGAAGGCAAUGUGGCUCCAACAUGUCACUCUACUGAUUAUUAGGGUUGAGUUGGCUGAUCUGGCUGGCUAUAUGAGUAUCCCCUUCCUUCCUCAUUGUUCCAUGUGUGUCCUGCCUGAAGCUGUGCGUUUGGUUAAAGAGGACAACCCUCCCCGAUAGAGGAGGACCAUUUCUUAGGUCAAGGGUAUAUGAGUAGCUGCAUUCCCCCACUAGAAUCUCCAAACAAGCUAUCAGGAACAGCUUGGGCCAUAAGGUGACAACCUGUCUCAAAAAAAAUUUGUUUUAAAUCUAUAGAAAACCACACUAU
This is a non-coding RNA of Heterocephalus glaber (naked mole-rat), 311 nucleotides long. NCBI's taxonomy places the organism in Eukaryota, Metazoa, Chordata, Mammalia, Rodentia, Bathyergidae. The record is from Rfam.